This 490-nucleotide ribosomal RNA is filed under the name uncultured bacterium. RNAcentral's name for it is "partial 16S ribosomal RNA". It matches the Rfam family "Bacterial small subunit ribosomal RNA", at positions 30 to 507 of the family's 1533-position model. The record is from RNAcentral.
AUUGAACGCUGGCGGCAGGCCUAACACAUUCAAGUCGAACGGUAACAGGAAACAGCUUGCUGUUUCGCUGACGAGUGGCGGACGGGUGAGUAAUGUCUGGGAAACUGCCUGAUGGAGGGGGAUAACUACUGGAAACGGUAGCUAAUACCGCAUAACGUCGCAAGACCAAAGAGGGGGACCUUCGGGCCUCUUGCCAUCGGAUGUGCCCAGAUGGGAUUAGCUAGUAGGUGGGGUAACGGCUCACCUAGGCGACGAUCCCUAGCUGGUCUGAGAGGAUGACCAGCCACACUGGAACUGAGACACGGUCCAGACUCCUACGGGAGGCAGCAGUGGGGAAUAUUGCACAAUGGGCGCAAGCCUGAUGCAGCCAUGCCGCGUGUAUGAAGAAGGCCUUCGGGUUGUAAAGUACUUUCAGCGGGGAUGAAGGGAGUAAAGUUAAUACCUGUGCUCAUUGACGUUACCCGCAGAAGAAGCACCGGCUAACUCCGUG